GGGCUACUGAAGGUAGGGUUGGGGUAGUUAGAGAUGGGGUUACCGAGGUAAGGGUCGGGGUGGUUAGGGCUACUGAAGGUAGGGUUGGGGUAGUUAGAGAUGGGGUUACCGGGGUAAGGGUCGGGGUCACUAGGGUCAUAUGCACUGAAAGUGUAUUAAAUAAUAAAGGCAAAAGUGUCUUAAUGCUUAUUUCUCGGUGCUGCAGUACUGAAAGUGUGUGUCUGUGUGUUCCUCCACCAUAUAGGGAGUAGCCGGUUUCCGUGGAGAGAAGGGGGAUAGAGGAGAAGUAGGGGAAAAGGGCAGAGAUGGCCUCCCUGGUUUAGCCGGAGAACCUGGAAAACCUGGACAGGAUGGAAAGCCGGGUUUAAAGGGCUCAUCUGGUCUACAAGGCCCACCUGUGAGUAACAUUAGUCCACCACGGUAGCCCCUCGUGGGUUCGUCGGAGUAACAGAGAUUGGGGAUCGGCUGUGGGGGGCUGCACUAGGCUGCUGGAGCUGUUUGGCCGAGGCUACACAGAACAAACUGUAGAAAAUAACCGAUGCAGCACUGCUAUUAACAACUAACCGUCCUGUCUCUUCUUUUCCCCAACCACAUAUCUGUCUUCUUUCUUUUCCUUAUCUCCCUGUCUUCUUGUCUAUUAUUUAUCUCUACUGCCCCUUUACACUUCUCCCGGACCAUCACAACCCCUCUCUCUCUCUCUCCCCUGUGUAUUCUUUCCUUCCCUGUUCUCCCAUCCUCUUUCCUUUAGGGCUUGCCUGGGUUCCCAGGAGUGUUGGGCAGACCGGUAGGUUUUCUUUGGCCGUGAAUGUUGGCUGCAGUGCUUUGUGAUGGGAGUUUGGAGGGAGGGAGGGAGGGAGUGGAGUGAUGACGUCUUGUUUAUAUAUCUGUCCCCUCUGUUGUUGCUUCAGUGUGGUCUCAUACUGUUUACCUCACAGGUGUCAGACUUCUCGAGUUCCGUACGGCAUUUCUGAACGUGG
Ictalurus punctatus (channel catfish) is the source of this 977-nucleotide long non-coding RNA. NCBI's taxonomy places the organism in Eukaryota, Metazoa, Chordata, Actinopteri, Siluriformes, Ictaluridae. The record is from Ensembl.